This 80-nucleotide ribosomal RNA is filed under the name Klebsiella pneumoniae. RNAcentral's name for it is "partial 16S ribosomal RNA". It matches the Rfam family "Bacterial small subunit ribosomal RNA", at positions 1454 to 1533 of the family's 1533-position model. The record is from RNAcentral. Lineage: Bacteria; Pseudomonadati; Pseudomonadota; Gammaproteobacteria; Enterobacterales; Enterobacteriaceae.
UUACCUCUUUGUGAUUCAUGACUGGGGUGAAGUCGUAACAAGGUAACCGUAGGGGAACCUGCGGUUGGAUCACCUCCUUA